RNAcentral lists this ribosomal RNA (378 nucleotides) under uncultured soil bacterium. RNAcentral's name for it is "bacterial SSU rRNA". It matches the Rfam family "Bacterial small subunit ribosomal RNA", at positions 26 to 400 of the family's 1533-position model. The record is from RNAcentral.
AGAUUGAACGCUGGCGGCAGGCCUAACACAUGCAAGUCGAGCGCGAAAAUUUCUUCGGAGAUGAGUAGAGCGGCAGACGGGUGAGUAACGCGUAGGAAUUUGCCCAGUAGUGGGGGACAACUCGGGGAAACUCGAGCUAAUACCGCAUACGCCCCAAGGGGGGAAAGCAGGGGAUCUUCGGACCUUGCGCUAUUGGAUAAGCCUGCGUCGGAUUAGCUAGUUGGUAGGUAAAGGCCUACCAGGCGACGAUCCGUAGCUGGUCUGAGAGGAUGAUCAGCCACACUGGGACUGAGACACGGCCCAGACUCCGUACGGGAGGCAGCAGGUGGGAAUAGUUGGACAAGUGGGGACAACCGUGACUACCGAGCCCAUCGCCGU